Molecule: long non-coding RNA, 641 nt
Organism: Olea europaea var. sylvestris
Lineage: Eukaryota; Viridiplantae; Streptophyta; Magnoliopsida; Lamiales; Oleaceae
Exons: 3
Source: RefSeq, a predicted model, not a curated record
CUAAUAGAACAAGUAUAGAACCAAAAGGUGUCAUUCUUGAACUUAAUAUUUUGGGUGUCUUCUUUUUUCGUCAUAAUGGAUAUCAGUUGGUAUGCAUACAACUAAAUUGAGGAAUUUGGAGAAACGACUAAAACAAGAGAAAGCAUCUCCGCUAUUGGACAAAUUGGUCUUCGAUAAGAUAGCAAGAAAGGUGGUGGUUAUGUUGCCGCACCCUGCCCCUCUAAACAGACAGUGAAAACUCUCGCCAACAGGCCAAACUAAAUCAACUGGAUCACAUGCUUGCAGGAGCUGCAACAGGACAUUUAAUUUUUAGCAUACUUUGGAGUCCCACUCAAAGGCUGAGCACAAUAGUGGAAAGUAAUAUUGAUUUUUGCAAAUCGUUUUGGAUUUUGCACUGUAAGUUUUGAUGGUUGGGUGUAGUUUAAGGCAAGUAGUACACUAUAGUAGGUUAUGUUCCAUGUAGAGUCGAGUAGGCCAAACUUCAACAAACUGAAUAUCUAAGCCAUCGGGAUGUAAAGGUGUUGAUCUUUGUUAUUUUAGCCUUUUGGUACUCUUCUAUCUUACUAUCAACAUUUCUUCGGUUGGAUAUAUGUUGUACCUGCUCGAUUGGCCGUAGAAUGUUUAUAUACUAUUCUCAUCUA